UGUGGUAGAGUUCAGUGGUAGAGCGCAUGCUUAGCGUGCACGAGGUCCUGGGUUCAAUCCUUAGUACCUCCA
This 72-nucleotide transfer RNA is filed under the name Camelus bactrianus (Bactrian camel). It matches the Rfam family "tRNA". From Rfam's summary of the family: Transfer RNA (tRNA) molecules are approximately 80 nucleotides in length. Their secondary structure includes four short double-helical elements and three loops (D, anti-codon, and T loops). Lineage: Eukaryota; Metazoa; Chordata; Mammalia; Artiodactyla; Camelidae. RNAcentral also lists the same sequence under 3 other names. The record is from Rfam by way of RNAcentral.